AAUCUCGGCCCGCCGAGUCCUACUUUGUCGAGGUUGGGAACACAAUCACCGCUGGUAGGAGCGGGGGAACCACUUUCGGCGCGCUACGGCGCGUCUUGGGGUGAAGUUCGACCGGCUUCAAGCCGGCGGACCGGGCAACCUCAGCCCGAACCCGACAGCUCACCUCGUAGGCGCUGGAGGUCCCCUGU
RNAcentral lists this small RNA (188 nucleotides) under Nostocoides jenkinsii. RNAcentral's name for it is "Tetrasphaera jenkinsii c-di-AMP sequence". It matches the Rfam family "c-di-AMP riboswitch aptamer (ydaO/yuaA leader)", at positions 11 to 126 of the family's 134-position model. From Rfam's summary of the family: This family represents a conserved RNA structure found upstream of the ydaO and yuaA genes in Bacillus subtilis and related genes in other bacteria. Lineage: Bacteria; Bacillati; Actinomycetota; Actinomycetes; Micrococcales; Intrasporangiaceae. The record is from RNAcentral.